RNAcentral lists this ribosomal RNA (381 nucleotides) under uncultured archaeon. RNAcentral describes it as "bacterial SSU rRNA". It matches the Rfam family "Archaeal small subunit ribosomal RNA", at positions 345 to 727 of the family's 1478-position model. The record is from RNAcentral.
AACCUUUACAAUGCACGAAAGUGUGAUAAGGGAAUCCCGAGUGCCUUACUUUUAGUAAGGCUUUUGCCAAAAGUAAAAAUUUUGGCGAAUAAAUGGUGGGUAAGACUUGUGCCAGCCGCCGCGGUAACACCAGCGCCAUGAGUGGCAACCGCUUUUAUUGGGCCUAAAGCGUCCGUAGCCGGUUCAGUAAAUUUCCUGUGAAAUCGUUGAGCUUAACUUAACGUCGUGCAGGAAACACUACUGGACUAGGGACCGGGAGGCGUCAGAGGUAUUCUUGAGGGAGCGGUAAAAUGCUAUAAUCUCAGGAGGACCACCAGUGGCGAAGGCGUCUGACGAGAACGGAUCCGACGGUCAGGGACGAAAGCUAGGGGAGCAAACCGG